This 406-nucleotide ribosomal RNA is filed under the name uncultured bacterium. RNAcentral's name for it is "partial 16S ribosomal RNA". It matches the Rfam family "Bacterial small subunit ribosomal RNA", at positions 30 to 526 of the family's 1533-position model. The record is from RNAcentral.
AUUGAACGCUGGCGGCAGGCCUAACACAUGCAAGUCGAACGAGUGGCGGACGGGUGAGUAAUGUCUGGGAAACUGCCCGAUGGAGGGGGAUAACUACUGGAAACGGUAGCUAAUACCGCAUACCAUCGGAUGUGCCCAGAUGGGAUUAGCUCGUAGGAGGGGUAACGGCUCACCUAGGCGACGAUCCCUAGCUGGUCUGAGAGGAUGCCCAGCCACACUGGAACUGAGACACGGUCCAGACUCCGACGGGGGGCAGCAGUGGGAAAUAUUGCACCAUGGGCGCAAGCCUGAUGCAGCCAUGCCGCGUGUAUGAAGAAGGCCUUCGGGUUGUAAAGUACUUUCAGCUAGGGGGCGUUACUCGCAGAAGAGGCACCGGCUAACUCCGUGCCAGCAGCCGCGGUAAUAC